Molecule: ribosomal RNA, 353 nt
Filed under: uncultured Anaerolineaceae bacterium
Lineage: Bacteria; Bacillati; Chloroflexota; Anaerolineae; Anaerolineales; Anaerolineaceae
Description: bacterial SSU rRNA
Rfam family: Bacterial small subunit ribosomal RNA
Source: RNAcentral
ACGACCUCGGGAGCUGAACAGGUGCUGCAUGGCUGUCGUCAGCUCGUGUCGUGAGAUGUUCGGUUAAGUCCGCUAACGAGCGCAACCCUCGCUGUGUGUUACAAGUGUCACACGGAACUGCCGGUCAUAAACCGGAGGAAGGUGGGGAUGACGUCAAGUCAGCAUGGCCUUUAUAUCCUGGGCUACACACACGCUACAAUGGGAAGGGACAAUAGGUUGCGAAGCCGCGAGGCGGAGCCAAUCCAGCAAAACUUCCCUCAGUUCAGAUUGCAGGCUGCAACUCGCCUGCAUGAAGUUGGAGUUGCUAGUAAACGCAGGUCAGCCAUACUGCGUUGAAUACGUUCCCGGGGCUU